GACCCUUUAAUUCGCACCGUUCAAUUUCUACCAUGUGUGUUCAUCUUCAUGCCGAAAUUGAUAAUGCUUGUUCCUCCUCAUUAUUGGAGUCGUGGUGGUGUGUUUUUAUAUACUGUGUAUCUAUAUUCACGAACCAGACCCUCUUCUAUCCAAAGUUGAGAACACAAGGUAGCUAAGAACCCACGCGGGGGAGAAGACAAGGACGAAAUCUUUAUAACUGUUCUUCAUCCUGACAGAUCUACUACUAGUAAUUACCUUGUAGAGCGAUCUACCUGCUACUUGUCUUCAGCCUCUACUCCCAUUUGGAGGUAAUUAUCUCCCUUUUUUUUAUCUCUUGAACUUUAGCCGUCUAGUCUCUUGAAAUCUUUUAUGAUUUGAUUUUUGUCAAAAGUAAGCUACUUCAGUUAUGGCUAUUGUGAUCAGUGGCGGAUCAAGAAAUUUUUUAGAGGAUUCGAAAAAUAAAAAUAUAAAUAUGUGAAUAGGCGUCUUUUUUUUGUUUUUUUUUUUCUUUUAGCUGUACAGGACAUACAAUAUCAGCUGUACAAAACAGUUUAUUUUUAAAAAAUAGGCAGCCUAGCGGGGAUCGAUCCGCAAAAAGGGCUGAGUUGGCGCCCCAAGUUAUGGAGAAAGUACCACUGAGUUAUCCAACAACCUUGUGUUAGAUGGUUCAAAAUUAAUAUAUGUACAUAAAUAUAGAUUUUCUAUUUUAUAUAUACAACGUAAUUUUUUGUCGAGGGGUUCGGAAACCCCUCGCUAACACGUAGGUCCGCCCCUGAUUGUGAUGCACCUUGUAUCAUGUUGAACUACAAAUUUUGCUAUGAUAAACAGUAUUUACUUCUUUUUAUAAAAACAUCCUAAUUUCUUGUAUGUUGUCUAGAAACUGUACUUAUCACCUUGUGCUUUUUAUGUAAUUUUUUUAUAUAAAAAACAUAUAAGAUCUGUUGUUGAUGAAAGUAAAAUUUUAUGGCUCUCGAAAUUUCAAUCGUGCCACAUAAAUUAGGUAUACAUAGUGUCUUCCUGACAAGACACGGGGUAAGCUGACCCAAAAUGAAAAAUAGAAAACUCGUAGAAACCAAUUAACAUCACACAAAGAAGAGGAUUGUUAGUACAAGCAUCCACCCAGAACUUUUCCACAGUGUAGUUGACACUAUCAAGGAGCUGGGGUGUUUCUAGUUACCGUAAAGGCCUUCUUGAUUGUCUAGAUUUGAUGAAUUUGAUACCACCAAUACGCUUCUUCGUCAAAGUAUUAUCUUUUUGGAUUCUCAGUUCAUCACUAAUUUAAUAAAGAUUUGGUUUUGGGGCUUUUUAAUUCACUCUUUGCUAUAAAAAAAAAAUUGAUAUCUUGUGCCUUGAGCCGGGGGUCUUUCGGAAACAGCCUUUCUACUUCAUCAGAGGUAGAGGUAUGGACUGCGUACAUCUUACCCCCGACCCCACUAAGUGGGAAUACACUGGGUUUGUUGUUGUUGUGUAUGCUAUAAUGUAUAUCUAGUUCUAGAUUUUCAAUGGUAUUUAUUAUCUUGUGUUGUUCUUCUCGUAGUGAGUUUUUUAAACUAUAUAAACUAUCACAUGUGCUUUUAUCUAAAUUUUCUAAGGUUUUUUCUAUCCAUACUAAUUUUUCUUUUAGGUCUUCCAUUAUUUUUCUAAUUCGGUUUCUAUAAUUAAUUUCAUUAUUUAGAUUUUCUUGAUUUUCUCUAGUUUGUCUAAUAUAUUCUAAAAUUUUUUAAUCUGAAUAAUAUCCUUCUGGGUAAAUUUCUUCGUAUAACUGUUCUAGACAAUUUAUAGUUUCAAUUUCGUAGUCUAUUACUUUUUCUAAUAUUAUUUUCUUAAUAUCUAUAAUUUCUAUGUUUUUAAGUAUAUAUAAUAUUAAAACUGUAAGAUAAUCUAAAUGAUCUAUUUUUAAAAUUGGUUUUAUUAUAAUAUUUUGUAGUUGUUUGUUUUAGCCUUAGUAGUUUUUGCAUAUUUUUAUUAAGAAAUUUUAUAUCUUUAUUUUCCAUGUAUUUAUCUAUAUUUAUUUUUAUCUGUUUUUCUAGUAACUGCAUAUUUUUUAUAUCUUUUUCUAAAAAUUUUAUGUAACUUAUCAUCGUAAGUAUUUAUAAGAGUAGUUAGGUAGUUGUGGUAUAUAAUUUAUUCUAGUCAUGUAAUAUUUACCAAAAGCUUUUUCUAAUAUUAUUUUUCUUAUAUCUGCUACUUUUAUAUUUCUAAGUGCAUACAAAAUAAGUAUCUUGAAUUUAUCUACCAUCACAUCAGAUAUAUUAUCA
Molecule: long non-coding RNA, 2258 nt
Filed under: Capsicum annuum
Lineage: Eukaryota; Viridiplantae; Streptophyta; Magnoliopsida; Solanales; Solanaceae
Description: long non-coding RNA (CANN_LNC018627)
Source: RNAcentral